GUGGGUGGACAGGCUCCCUGCUUGUGCAGCGAACUGUUUAACGUACGUAUCAUCAUGUUAGUCUCAAUUGCCUUGAUUGCACAUUGGGCUACCUUUGGUUUCUGUGUUGGUUACCUACUCGGAAGGAAAUUGUCCCUCAUCUUUGUAUCACAUUGCCGUGAACCCAUUUAUGGGAUGCUCGGUUUUGUCAAUAGUUUGCAUAUUCCAUUCACGGUCUACUACAAUGUAGUGGUGACAUGGCCUAUGCAUAAAAAACUAUUCGUACUCGUGGAUGCAGAACAUUGUAGUGGGUAAUUGGGUCACUGCCCUUUUAAGCCCAGGCAGAGCUUCUUAUGCUCGGCAUGUACGACAGCUGUGAUUGCGUUGACCUUCCCAACUUUGCUGAUGGGAGGGCUCAU
This 398-nucleotide unclassified non-coding RNA is filed under the name Rodgersia sambucifolia. Its description in RNAcentral is "partial external transcribed spacer". Lineage: Eukaryota; Viridiplantae; Streptophyta; Magnoliopsida; Saxifragales; Saxifragaceae. The record is from RNAcentral. RNAcentral also lists the same sequence under 1 other name.